GAUGAACGCUGGCAGCGUGCCUAAUACAUGCAAGUCGAGCGAAUGGAUUAAGAGCUUGCUCUUAUGAAGUUAGCGGCGGACGGCUGAGUAACACGUGGGUAACCUGCCCAUAAGACUGGGAUAACUCCGGGAAACCGGGGCUAAUACCGGAUAACAUUUUGAACCGCACGGUUCGAAAUUGAAAGGCGGCUUCGGGUGCCACUUAUGGAUGGAUCCGCGUCGCAUUAGCUAGUUGGGGAGGUAACGGCUCACCAAGGCAACGAUGCGUAGCCGACCUGAGAGGGUGAUCGGCCACACUGGGACUGAGACACGGCCCAGACUCCUACGGGAGGCAGCAGUAGGGAAUCUUCCGCAAUGGACGAAAGUCUGACGGAGCAACGCCGCGUGAGUGAUGAAGGCUUUCGGGUCGUAAAACUCUGUUGUUAGGGAAGAACAAGUGCUAGUUGAAUAAGCUGGCACCUUGACGGUACCUAACCAGAAAGCCACGGCUAACUACGUGCCAGCCGCCGCGGUAA
This 515-nucleotide ribosomal RNA is filed under the name uncultured bacterium. Its description in RNAcentral is "partial 16S ribosomal RNA". It matches the Rfam family "Bacterial small subunit ribosomal RNA", at positions 28 to 523 of the family's 1533-position model. The record is from RNAcentral.